AUUGAACGCUGGCGGCAUGCCUUACACAUGCAAGUCGAACGGCAGCGGACCUUCGGGUGCCGGCGAGUGGCGAACAGGUGAGUAAUAUAUCGGAACGUACCUUUCAGUGGGGGAUAACGUAGCGAAAGUUACGCUAAUACCGCAUAUUCUGUGAGCAGGAAAGCAGGGGAUCGCAAGACCUUGCGCUGAUUGAGCGGCCGAUAUCAGAUUAGCUAGUUGGUGAGGUAAAGGCUCACCAAGGCGACGAUCUGUAGCGGGUCUGAGAGGAUGAUCCGCCACACUGGAACUGAGACACGGUCCAGACUCCUACGGGAGGCAGCAGUGGGGAAUUUUGGACAAUGGGCGCAAGCCUGAUCCAGCCAUGCCGCGUGAGUGAAGAAGGCCUUCGGGUUGUAAAGCUCUUUCGGCCGGGAAGAAAUCGCACAGGUUAAUACCCUGUGUGGAUGACGGUACCGGAAUAAGAAGCACCGGCUAACUACGUG
This 482-nucleotide ribosomal RNA is filed under the name uncultured bacterium. RNAcentral's name for it is "bacterial SSU rRNA". It matches the Rfam family "Bacterial small subunit ribosomal RNA", at positions 30 to 507 of the family's 1533-position model. The record is from RNAcentral.